AUGUUCGUGACAAACUCGUCCCAGCCAAGCCACGAGCCCCGCACCGCGGGGUCGAAGCUCGCCGAGAACACCCCGUACGGCACGCCCAGGAGGAGGCCGAACAGCAGGAACGCGACCCAGACGGGCGGCUGCAGGUCGUCGAGCCCGGUGGCCGCGGCCGCCGCGCGCAGGGCCGCCUCGCCGGCCGCGGUGGCCGCGAGCGCGGCCGCGGGGACCCGCCGCGCCGUGCGCCACAGCACCUCCUCGGACUCGAGGAACGAGAGGUCGCCGCCGCGCUCCCGCCGCCCGACCCACUCGUCCCACUCCUCGUCGCUGACCGACGCGUCGGCCACCAGCAGCGAGCCGAGGACGAAGGAGACGAGCGGCAUCCACGCGGGGACGCGGUCGACGCCCGCGGCGUCGCCGAGGUAGCCCAGCAGCGCGGGCACCCCCGCGAAGGAGAAGGCCGCGACGGCCGGGAGCUUCCAGAGCACGCCGAGGUCGGGGCUGCGGCCCGGGAGGUCGGCGUCGAGGAGGGACCGGAGGAGUCGGCGAGCCCCGCGUCGACGAGGUUCUGGAGGAAGGUCCGGAGGUCGUUGUUGCUGUUGCGGUAGGCGUCCAGGAGCUUCCCCGCCAGCGUCCCGAGAUCGUCCUCGGGGGGCUUGCUGGCCUCGUCUUCGGUGGCGUCCGUGCCGCGGCUGCCGCCGGGGCUCGAGCGAAGGCGGAGGUGGCGGUGGGGGAGACGACGGGGGAGCUGGAGAGACGAGCGGGGGCGAGGGGGCGGCCGGGAGUAGAGGGGGGAGGAGGUCCGGGUGGGGGUGA
Molecule: ribosomal RNA, 801 nt
Filed under: Triticum aestivum (bread wheat)
Lineage: Eukaryota; Viridiplantae; Streptophyta; Magnoliopsida; Poales; Poaceae
Description: partial small subunit ribosomal RNA
Source: RNAcentral